UAAUGAAGAUUUUUGAGCCUUUCUUUGCUCUAUAUUCUAGUUAUUGGUUUAUAAUACCUAAAAAAAAUGGGUAAUUAUGCUUUAUUCAAAAUAUGUAGCUAGUAAAUGGAGUAAUUAUUAGAAAUAUAGAUAUAGGACCUCUAGUGGAUGAGUUUGCAGAAGUAUUUGCAAGAAGCGUAAUUUAUUCAAUGAAUGAUUUAUAUUUAGAUUAUGAUCAAUUUCAACUUGCAUAUAGAAGUAGAAAUUUAACAACAAUGAGAAUGUCACUUGGACUAUUUAAAAUGUGUACUCUUUUACAAGGUACUAC
RNAcentral lists this long non-coding RNA (307 nucleotides) under Physcomitrium patens. Its description in RNAcentral is "long non-coding RNA (PPAT_LNC001058)". The record is from RNAcentral. Lineage: Eukaryota; Viridiplantae; Streptophyta; Bryopsida; Funariales; Funariaceae.